UGAGAUGAAUAAAACAAAGGCAUGACUGC
RNAcentral lists this non-coding RNA (29 nucleotides) under Rattus norvegicus (Norway rat). The record is from RNAcentral. Lineage: Eukaryota; Metazoa; Chordata; Mammalia; Rodentia; Muridae.